GCUAUACAUGCAAGUAGAACGCUGAAGAGAGGAGCUUGCUCUUCUUGGAUGAGUUGCGAACGGGUGAGUAACGCGUAGGUAACCUGCCUUGUAGCGGGGGAUAACUAUUGGAAACGAUAGCUAAUACCGCAUAACAAUGGAUGACACAUGUCAUUUAUUUGAAAGGGGCAAUUGCUCCACUACAAGAUGGACCUGCGUUGUAUUAGCUAGUAGGUGAGGUAAUGGCUCACCUAGGCGACGAUACAUAGCCGACCUGAGAGGGUGAUCGGCCACACUGGGACUGAGACACGGCCCAGACUCCUACGGGAGGCAGCAGUAGGGAAUCUUCGGCAAUGGGGGCAACCCUGACCGAGCAACGCCGCGUGAGUGAAGAAGGUUUUCGGAUCGUAAAGCUCUGUUGUAAGUCAAGAACGGGUGUGAGAGUGGAAAGUUCACACUGUGACGGUAGCUUACCAGAAAGGGACGGCUAACUACGUGCCAGCAGCCGCGGUAAUACGUAGGUCCCGAGCGUUGUCCGGAUUUAUUGGGCGUAAAGCGAGCGCAGGCGGUUUGAUAAGUCUGAAGUUAAAGGCUGUGGCUCAACCAUAGUUCGCUUUGGAAACUGUCAAACUUGAGUGCAGAAGGGGAGAGUGGAAUUCCAUGUGUAGCGGUGAAAUGCGUAGAUAUAUGGAGGAACACCGGUGGCGAAAGCGGCUCUCUGGUCUGUAACUGACGCUGAGGCUCGAAAGCGUGGGGAGCGAACAGGAUUAGAUACCCUGGUAGUCCACGCCGUAAACGAUGAGUGCUAUGUGUUGGAUCCUUUCCGGGAUUCAGUGCCGCAGCUAACGCAUCUAAGCACUCCGCCUGGGGAGUACGACCGCACGUUGAAACUCAAGGGAGUUGACGGGGGCCCGCAUCAAGCGUGGAGCAUGUGGUGUGACUUCGUAUCAACGCGAAGAA
This 939-nucleotide ribosomal RNA is filed under the name Streptococcus thermophilus. Its description in RNAcentral is "bacterial SSU rRNA". It matches the Rfam family "Bacterial small subunit ribosomal RNA", at positions 48 to 968 of the family's 1533-position model. The record is from RNAcentral. Lineage: Bacteria; Bacillati; Bacillota; Bacilli; Lactobacillales; Streptococcaceae.